UUGGCAUGAUGAUGAUAAUUUUAAAUACUUUCAUACGAUUAUUUAUAUGAUGAAAGCAAUCCUCCUACUCAUUCUGA
This is a non-coding RNA of Phaseolus vulgaris (common bean), 77 nucleotides long. The record is from Rfam. Lineage: Eukaryota; Viridiplantae; Streptophyta; Magnoliopsida; Fabales; Fabaceae.